GAUUACCGGUGGCGGAUGGGCAUGCGGCGCAUUAGCUAGUCGGCGGGGUAACGGCCCACCGAGGCGACGAUGCGUAGGGGUUCUGAGAGGAAGGUCCCCCACACUGGUACUGAGACACGGACCAGACUCCUACGGGAGGCAGCAGUGAGGAAUAUUGGUCAAUGGGCGCGAGCCUGAACCAGCCAAGUCGCGUGAGGGAUGACGGUCCUACGGAUUGUAAACCUCUUUUGCCGGGGAGCAAGCGUGCGUUCGUGAACGCGCGUCGAGAGUACCCGGAGAAAAAGCAUCGGCUAACUCCGUGCCAGCAGCCGCGGUAAUACGGAGGAUGCGAGCGUUAUCCGGAUUUAUUGGGUUUAAAGGGUGCGUAGGCGGGAUGCCAAGUCAGCGGUAAAAAUGCGGUGCUCAACGCCGUCGAGCCGUUGAAACUGGCGUUCUUGAGUGGGCGAGAAGUAUGCGGAAUGCGUGGUGUAGCGGUGAAAUGCAUAGAUAUCACGCAGAACUCCGAUUGCGAAGGCAGCAUACCGGCGCCCUACUGACGCUGAGGCACGAAAGCGUGGGUAUCGAACAGGAUUAGAUACCCUGGUAGUCCACGCAGUAAACGAUGAAUG
Molecule: ribosomal RNA, 608 nt
Filed under: uncultured bacterium
Lineage: Bacteria
Description: bacterial SSU rRNA
Rfam family: Bacterial small subunit ribosomal RNA
Source: RNAcentral